Molecule: ribosomal RNA, 371 nt
Filed under: uncultured organism
Description: bacterial SSU rRNA
Rfam family: Bacterial small subunit ribosomal RNA
Source: RNAcentral
CGUAGGGUGCGAGCGUUAAUCGGAAUUACUGGGCGUAAAGCGUGCGCUAGGCGGUUUUGUAAGACAGAUGUGAAAUCCCCGGGCUCAACCUGGGACCUGCAUUUGUGACUGCAAGGCUAGAGUACGGUAGAGGGGGAUGGAAUUCCGCGUGUAGCAGUGAAAUGCGUAGAUAUGCGGAGGAACACCGAUGGCGAAGGCAAUCCCCUGGACCUGUACUGACGCUCAUGCACGAAAGCGUGGGGAGCAAACAGGAUUAGAUACCCUGGUAGUCCACGCCCUAAACGAUGUCAACUGGUUGUUGGGUCUUUACUGACUCAGUAACGAAGCUAACGCGUGAAGUUGACCGCCUGGGGAGUACGGCCGCAAGGUUG